RNAcentral lists this unclassified non-coding RNA (26 nucleotides) under Mus musculus (house mouse). RNAcentral's name for it is "oocyte_clustered_small_RNA9187". The record is from RNAcentral. Lineage: Eukaryota; Metazoa; Chordata; Mammalia; Rodentia; Muridae.
UCCAUAGACUGCCACACCUGGGGAUC